This 116-nucleotide ribosomal RNA is filed under the name uncultured bacterium. Its description in RNAcentral is "partial 16S ribosomal RNA". It matches the Rfam family "Bacterial small subunit ribosomal RNA", at positions 1369 to 1482 of the family's 1533-position model. The record is from RNAcentral.
UGUUCCCGGGCCUUGUACACACCGCCCGUCACACCACGAAAGUUGGCAAUACCCGAAGCCGGUGGCCUAACCCGCAAGGGAGGGAGCCGUCGAAGGUAGGGUCGAUGGUUGGGGUG